Molecule: unclassified non-coding RNA, 302 nt
Filed under: Hevea brasiliensis (rubber tree)
Lineage: Eukaryota; Viridiplantae; Streptophyta; Magnoliopsida; Malpighiales; Euphorbiaceae
Source: RNAcentral
GGCACCGUCAUCCUCCGUCAAAUCGUCACGAAAUUGGUUACGAUCCUUGGCCAUGCGACUGUCGGGCCCUCCCGCGGCCCUGCGAAUCAUUGCGUAAAGAUUAACAGAAGCUGGGGUCUAUGCGCGCGGCGGGAAUGUCCAAAACGCUUUUGUCCCUCGGCGCUCUCGGGUAAGACGGCCCCGGCGCGCCUUCGCGUGCGGUAUAGGGAAAACGCAUGUCUGGCAGAACAACCCUCACGAUCGUACUUGCAGCGGGCGAGGGCACGCGCAUGCGUUCCCGCCUGCCGAAGGUGCUGCAUCCG